GGAGUUAGCCGGUGCUUCUUCUGUGAGUGAUGUCCUUCCUGCCGGCUAUUAACCCGCAGGCCUUCUUCCUCACUGAAAGUGCUUUACAACCCGAAGGCCUUCUUCACACACGCGGCAUGGCUGGAUCAGGGUUGCCCCCAUUGUCCAAUAUUCCCCACUGCUGCCUCCCGUAGGAGUCUGGGCCGUGUCUCAGUCCCAGUGUGGCUGAUCAUCCUCUCAGACCAGCUACGGAUCGUCGCCUUGGUGAGCCGUUACCUCACCAACCAGCUAAUCCGACAUAGGCUCAUCCGAUAGCGCGAGGCCCGAAGGUCCCCCGCUUUCCCCCGUAGGGCGUAUGCGGUAUUAGCCUGGGUUUCCCCAGGUUAUCCCCCACUACCGGGCAGAUUCCUAUGCAUUACUCACCCGUCCGCCGCUCGCCACCAGGGAGCAAGCUCCCCGUGCUGCCGCUCGACUUGCAUGUGUAGCUGCCGCCAGCGUCAUCUGAGCAGAGACACAACUCUACGACGNGACGGCGGCGCGACGACGCGACA
RNAcentral lists this ribosomal RNA (530 nucleotides) under uncultured bacterium. Its description in RNAcentral is "partial 16S ribosomal RNA". The record is from RNAcentral.